AUAAUCAUAGAUUUCUAAAUUAGUAUAAUAAAAUGGCAGGGCUCUAAAGUAUAUUACAUAUAGAUAAUAGACAAUAUAAGUUUAAGUGCAACAUAAUAUUGAAAAUUAUUACAAACUAAUUAUUUAGCUUAUACGCUAUAAUUUGAUCGCGAAUUGAGUUUCGAGCAUGAUCCAUCUGUGAAGAAGAAGCUACAUUGAAACUUUGGGAUUGAUCCAAGUUAGUUGAUCUAUGAUAAUCAUCAUGGUGAAUGAUUGUAUUUUCAUCUUCAUAAAGAUUGAAAUCAACAUCCAUUUCAACACUCCUUCUAAUAAAGUUGUGUAUUGUCAUUGUUGCGACAACUAUAUGAACUUGUGUCUCAUAUUUGAACUUAGGCAUGCAACGAAAAAUUAAAAAUCUAUUCUUCCAUACCCCAAAAGUUCUUUCAAUUGUGCAUCUUAAACUUGAGUGGUAGUAAUUGAAUACUUCGUUAUUAUUUUCGAACCCACUUGAA
RNAcentral lists this long non-coding RNA (491 nucleotides) under Medicago truncatula (barrel medic). RNAcentral describes it as "long non-coding RNA (MTRU_LNC007063)". Lineage: Eukaryota; Viridiplantae; Streptophyta; Magnoliopsida; Fabales; Fabaceae. The record is from RNAcentral.